RNAcentral lists this ribosomal RNA (253 nucleotides) under uncultured Saprospirales bacterium. RNAcentral's name for it is "partial 16S ribosomal RNA". It matches the Rfam family "Bacterial small subunit ribosomal RNA", at positions 524 to 776 of the family's 1533-position model. Lineage: Bacteria; Pseudomonadati; Bacteroidota; Saprospiria; Saprospirales. The record is from RNAcentral.
UACGGAGGGUGCAAGCGUUAUCCGGAAUCACUGGGUUUAAAGGGUGCGUAGGCGGCGCUAUAAGUCAGAGGUGAAAGGCCACCGCUUAACGGUGGGACUGCCUUUGAUACUGUAGUGCUUGAAUCAGGUUGAGGUCGGCGGAAUGUGACAUGUAGCGGUGAAAUGCUUAGAUAUGUCAUAGAACACCAAUUGCGAAGGCAGCUGACUAGACCUUGAUUGACGCUGAGGCACGAAAGCGUGGGGAGCGAACAGG